This 206-nucleotide ribosomal RNA is filed under the name uncultured bacterium. Its description in RNAcentral is "partial 16S ribosomal RNA". It matches the Rfam family "Bacterial small subunit ribosomal RNA", at positions 568 to 774 of the family's 1533-position model. The record is from RNAcentral.
CACGUAGGCGGAUUGCUAAGUCAGGGGUGAAAUCCUGGAGCUCAACUCCAGAACUGCCUUUGAUACUGGCGAUCUCGAGUCCGGGAGAGGUGAGUGGAACUGCGAGUGUAGAGGUGAAAUUCGUAGAUAUUCGCAAGAACACCAGUGGCGAAGGCGGCUCACUGGCCCGGUACUGACGCUGAGGUGCGAAAGCGUGGGAGCAAACA